GAUGACGUAGCAGUUCACUCAAGAAAUUCUUUUAUCUCUAAAAUUAUGGUGGCUAAAGUUGAACUGAAACUCUGGGGGCGAAAUAACAAGGUGGGGUCCGUUCCCUCCUUCAGAGAAGGUGGGAGCCGCCGCCCUUCGUUAUGCUUGUCCGGUAGCAGAACGUACUGUUAAUUGUUCAGUGAGAGCCCCACACGGCAUCAGAAGUGAUAAUGUGGACAUGAGUAAAAAAUCAUAGGAUCACUCCCCCCCUGGUUUCCCAUAUUAGGUAUGGGGUUAAACAGCCCCUAAAAUUGCAGCCCCAAAGGUUGCGUUAAUGGGGGGCCAUGAGUAAUAGACGCACAAAGUGCCAGGAAAGAAUUAUUCGGCGCCGCACUGUACUAAACUAACUAAAGUGGGGGAUAGUGAGGGGAUAAAUUUCUUUAAGGAACUCGGCAAAAUCCCAAUGGCCCACCAGGGCAUAUAUUGGAACACGGGCCUCGACUGUUUACCAAAAACAUAGCCCUCGGCCAAUAUGAAAAUAGAAGUAUGGAGGGUGAGGCCUGCCCAAUGGUUGUAUCUAAAAGCGGUGGAUAAAAGUCGACCGCGUAAGGACAAUUGAAUGGCCGCGGUACUACUGACCGUGAUAAUGUAGCGUAAUCAAUAGCCAAUUAAUUGUUGGCCAGUAUGAAUGGCGCCACGAAGGCCCCACUGUCUUAAGGAAAUUCCCAGUGAAAUUGAAUUCGUAGUGAAGAUGCUACGUCCAAUUUGUUAGACGAAAAGACCCCGUUGAGCUUUACUGGGGCACUUACACGGCCGAAUUGAAAUGGGCGGCUUAGACUAUGUGGCAGCCCCCCGUCGGGGCAGAUGAAACCCCACUCCCCCAUGUCAAAGGGGCUAACCCCCCCUCGGGGGGGGACAGUGUAAGUAGGACAGUUUGGUUGGGGCGACCGCCUUUUAGAGAGUAACGAAGGUGCGCUUAAGGUGCGCAAUUAAUGACUGAAGCCUGACUGCGAGGGGGACACCCCGAGCAGACACCCCCCAGCCCGCGAGGGCGGGGGUGGGCCAUAGUGACCCGUUAAUUUAGAGUGGAAUAGUUAACGAUCAACGAAUAAAAGUUACCACGGGGAUAACAGCGUAAUAUCGUUAGAGAGUUCACAUCGACGACGAUGUUUGCGACCUCGAUGUUGAAUUGCGGCAUCCUG
This 1181-nucleotide ribosomal RNA is filed under the name Savalia savaglia. RNAcentral describes it as "partial 16S ribosomal RNA". It matches the Rfam family "Bacterial large subunit ribosomal RNA", at positions 1128 to 2549 of the family's 2925-position model. The record is from RNAcentral. Lineage: Eukaryota; Metazoa; Cnidaria; Anthozoa; Zoantharia; Parazoanthidae.